GAACGCUGGCGGCGUGCUUAACACAUGCAAGUCGAACGGAAAGGCCCUGCUUUUGUGGGGUGCUCGAGUGGCGAACGGGUGAGUAACACGUGAGUAACCUGCCCUUGACUUUGGGAUAACUUCAGGAAACUGGGGCUAAUACCGGAUAGGAGCUCCUGCUGCAUGGUGGGGGUUGGAAAGUUUCGGCGGUUGGGGAUGGACUCGCGGCUUAUCGGCUUGUUGGUGGGGUAGUGGCUUACCAAGGCUUUGACGGGUAGCCGGCCUGAGAGGGUGACCGGCCACAUUGGGACUGAGAGAGGGCCAAGACUCAUACGGGGGGCAGAGGGGGGGAAUAUGGCACAAUGGGCGGAAGCCUGAGGCAGAAACGCCGCGGGCGGGAUGACGGCCUUCGGGUUGUAAACCGCUUUAGCCUGUGACGAAGCGUGAGUGACGGUAAUGGGUAAAGAAGCACCGGCUAACUACGUG
RNAcentral lists this ribosomal RNA (465 nucleotides) under uncultured bacterium. RNAcentral's name for it is "partial 16S ribosomal RNA". It matches the Rfam family "Bacterial small subunit ribosomal RNA", at positions 31 to 507 of the family's 1533-position model. The record is from RNAcentral.